This 226-nucleotide ribosomal RNA is filed under the name Serratia sp. J81. RNAcentral's name for it is "partial 16S ribosomal RNA". It matches the Rfam family "Bacterial small subunit ribosomal RNA", at positions 328 to 546 of the family's 1533-position model. Lineage: Bacteria; Pseudomonadati; Pseudomonadota; Gammaproteobacteria; Enterobacterales; Yersiniaceae. The record is from RNAcentral.
GGUCCACACUUCUACGGGAGGCAGCAGUGGGGAAUAUUGCACAAUGGGCGCAAGCCUGAUGCAGCCAUGCCGCGUGUGUGAAGAAGGCCUUCGGGUUGUAAAGCACUUUCAGCGAGGAGGAAGGGUUCGGUGUUAAUAUCACUGUUCAUUGACGUUACUCGCAGAAGAAGCACCGGCUAACUCCGUGCCAGCAGCCGCGGUAAUACGGAGGGUGCAAGCGUUAAUC